AAAUUGAAGAGUUUGAUCAUGGCUCAGAUUGAACGCUGGCGGCAGGCCUAACACAUGCAAGUCGAACGGUAACAGGAAGCAGCUUGCUGCUUUGCUGACGAGUGGCGGACGGGUGAGUAAUGUCUGGGAAACUGCCUGAUGGAGGGGGAUAACUACUGGAAACGGUGGCUAAUACCGCAUAACGUCGCAAGACCAAAGAGGGGGACCUUCGGGCCUCUUGCCAUCAGAUGUGCCCAGAUGGGAUUAGCUUGUUGGUGAGGUAACGGCUCACCAAGGCGACGAUCCCUAGCUGGUCUGAGAGGAUGACCAGCCACACUGGAACUGAGACACGGUCCAGACUCCUACGGGAGGCAGCAGUGGGGAAUAUUGCACAAUGGGCGCAAGCCUGAUGCAGCCAUGCCGCGUGUAUGAAGAAGGCCUUCGGGUUGUAAAGUACUUUCAGCGGGAGGAAGGUGUUGUGGUUAAUAACCACAGCAAUUGACGUUA
This 486-nucleotide ribosomal RNA is filed under the name Salmonella enterica subsp. enterica serovar Agona str. 400095 11. Its description in RNAcentral is "bacterial SSU rRNA". It matches the Rfam family "Bacterial small subunit ribosomal RNA", at positions 1 to 477 of the family's 1533-position model. Lineage: Bacteria; Pseudomonadati; Pseudomonadota; Gammaproteobacteria; Enterobacterales; Enterobacteriaceae. The record is from RNAcentral.